RNAcentral lists this unclassified non-coding RNA (211 nucleotides) under plant metagenome. Its description in RNAcentral is "partial contains small subunit ribosomal RNA, internal transcribed spacer 1, and 5.8S ribosomal RNA". The record is from RNAcentral.
UUUCCGUAGGUGAACCUGCGGAAGGAUCAUUCAUAAUAAAGUGUUUUAUGGCACUUUUUAAAAAUCCAUAUCCACCUUGUGUGCAAUGUUAGAUCUCGUCAAUCUUGGCGAGAUUUUUAUACAUCAACUCAUUCUUUAACUAAUUUGUCUGAAAAAUAUUAUGAAUAGUUAAUUCAAAAUACAACUUUCAACAACGGAUCUCUUGGCUCUC